Molecule: ribosomal RNA, 353 nt
Filed under: uncultured bacterium
Lineage: Bacteria
Description: bacterial SSU rRNA
Rfam family: Bacterial small subunit ribosomal RNA
Source: RNAcentral
CGGUUUGAUCCUGGCUCAGAUUGAACGCUGGCGGCAUGCCUUACACAUGCAAGUCGAACGGCAGCGCGGGAGCAAUCCUGGCGGCGAGUGGCGAACGGGUGAGUAAUACAUCGGAACGUGCCCAAUCGUGGGGGAUAACGCAGCGAAAGCUGUGCUAAUACCGCAUAAGAUCUACGGAUGAAAGCAGGGGAUCGCAAGACCUUGCGCGAAUGGAGCGGCCGAUGGCAGAUUAGGUAGUUGGUGAGGUAAAGGCUCACCAAGCCUUCGAUCUGUAGCUGGUCUGAGAGGACGACCAGCCACACUGGGACUGAGACACGGCCCAGACUCCUACGGGAGGCAGCAGUGGGGAAUUA